RNAcentral lists this ribosomal RNA (756 nucleotides) under uncultured bacterium. RNAcentral's name for it is "bacterial SSU rRNA". It matches the Rfam family "Bacterial small subunit ribosomal RNA", at positions 97 to 838 of the family's 1533-position model. The record is from RNAcentral.
GGCGGACGGGUGAGUAACACGUGGGUAACCUGCCCUUAAGUGGGGGAUAACAUUUGGAAACAGAUGCUAAUACCGCAUAGAUCCAAGAACCGCAUGGUUCUCGGCUGAAAGAUGGCGUAAGCUAUCGCUUUUGGAUGGACCCGCGGCGUAUUAGCUAGUUGGUGAGGUAAUGGCUCACCAAGGCGAUGAUACGUAGCCGAACUGAGAGGUUGAUCGGCCACAUUGGGACUGAGACACGGCCCAAACUCCUACGGGAGGCAGCAGUAGGGAAUCUUCCACAAUGGACGCAAGUCUGAUGGAGCAACGCCGCGUGAGUGAAGAAGGCUUUCGGGUCGUAAAACUCUGUUGUUGGAGAAGAAUGGUCGGCAGAGUAACUGUUGUCGGUGUGACGGUAUCCAACCAGAAAGCCACGGCUAACUACGUGCCAGCAGCCGCGGUAAUACGUAGGUGGCAAGCGUUAUCCGGAUUUAUUGGGCGUAAAGCGAGCGCAGGCGGUUUUUUAAGUCUGAUGUGAAAGCCCUCGGCUUAACCGAGGAAGCGCAUCGGAAACUGGGAAACUUGAGUGCAGAAGAGGACAGUGGAACUCCAUGUGUAGCGGUGAAAUGCGUAGAUAUAUGGAAGAACACCAGUGGCGAAGGCGGCUGUCUGGUCUGUAACUGACGCUGAGGCUCGAAAGCAUGGGUAGCGAACAGGAUUAGAUACCCUGGUAGUCCAUGCCGUAAACGAUGAAUGCUAGGUGUUGGAGGGGUUUCCGCC